Non-coding RNA from Ictidomys tridecemlineatus (thirteen-lined ground squirrel), 568 nucleotides. The record is from RefSeq and is a predicted model, not a curated record. Lineage: Eukaryota; Metazoa; Chordata; Mammalia; Rodentia; Sciuridae.
CUGCAAGGUCAGGAGCGCAUUGCCGGAUCACUCUAUUAUUUCGCUGCGCCACUGUUACCCAGCUAACGCCUUUUUCAUGAUAUUUUGAACAUCCACACAGAAAAAACCAAGUGAGUGCGGGAGAGAUACAAAUGGAUCGUUUGGUGGAGAAAUUCGUCUUCGUCACCGCCGCCAGGCUGGGAUUAAUGCGAUUGAAGGUUCCUCCAGGCUCCGCCAGGGAGACGGGCUCAGGAAAGCAAGAGAAAUUGUUCUGGUCAGGCACCAUGCUCUGCCCUGAGGGCUCAACGCCUUGUGGAGCUUAUGAUGAUGAAGAAGUUCAUGAAGAUGUGUGAAUUGCUUCUAUGAAAUGUCUACAUUGAAUCUGUUUGAAUCUUCUGAGGGCCUUAGUCAGAGAGGUUGAAAUCAAGGCAUUAUCCAGUCUGGGAUCUACUCUGAAGCUCUGGGGAAGAAUCUACUUCUGCAUUUAUUCCUGUUGUUGGCAGAAUUCAGUGUUUUGCUAUUGUCGACUGAGGUCCCUGCUUCCUUGCUGGCUGUCAGUGGGGGAGUCACUCACAGCUCCUAGAAACUA